AUUGAACGCUGGCGGCAGGCCUAACACAUGCAAGUCGAACGAGUGGCGGACGGGUGAGUAAUGCCUGGGAAACUGCCUUAUGGAGGGGGAUAACUACGGGAAACUGUAGCUAAUACCGCAUACCCUCAGAUGUGCCCAGUGGGGAUUAGCUGGUUGGUGGGGUAACGGCUCACCAAGGCGACGAUCCCUAGCUGGUCUGAGAGGAUGACCAGCCACACUGGAACUGAGACACGGUCCAGACUCCUACGGGAGGCAGCAGUGGGGAAGAUUGCACAAUGGGCGCAACCCUGACGCAGCCAUGCCGCGUGAAUGAAGAAGGCCUUCGGGUUGUAAAGUACUUUCGGUAGGGAGGCGUUACCCACAGAAGAAGCACCGGCUAACUCCGUGCCAGCAGCCGCGGUAAUAC
Molecule: ribosomal RNA, 406 nt
Filed under: uncultured bacterium
Lineage: Bacteria
Description: partial 16S ribosomal RNA
Rfam family: Bacterial small subunit ribosomal RNA
Source: RNAcentral